Molecule: unclassified non-coding RNA, 253 nt
Filed under: Entyloma diastateae
Lineage: Eukaryota; Fungi; Basidiomycota; Exobasidiomycetes; Entylomatales; Entylomataceae
Description: partial internal transcribed spacer region
Rfam family: Eukaryotic small subunit ribosomal RNA (bases 1-46)
Source: RNAcentral
AAGUCAUAACAAGGUAUCUGUAGGUGAACCUGCAGAUGGAUCAUUAGUGAAUAACACGGGGUCUCACUCUGUGAGCCCCAAACCUCUCACAUAUCCACACACCUGUGCACCGUUGAUGAUUGCCGAUCUGCCGUAAUACGCGAUCCUGUGAUCAUUGACACCUUUACACAUUAACCUAUGUAACUGAAUGUCAUUGUAACUACGCAAGUAGAAACUAAAAUACAACUUUUGACAACGGAUCUCUUGGUUCUCC